AGCGGCGUACGGGUGCGGAACACGUGUGCACUGCCUUUAUCUGGGGGAUAGCCUUUCGAAAGGAAGAUUAAUACUCCAUAAUAUAUUGAUUGGCAUCAAUUAAUAUUGAAAGCUCCGGCGGAUAGAGAUGGGCACGCGCAAGAUUAGCUAGUUGGUGAGGUAACGGCUCACCAAGGCAAUGAUCUUUAGGGGGCCUGAGAGGGUGAUCCCCCACACUGGUACUGAGACACGGACCAGACUCCUACGGGAGGCAGCAGUGAGGAAUAUUGGACAAUGGGCGCAAGCCUGAUCCAGCCAUGCCGCGUGCAGGAUGAAGGUGUUAUGCAUCGUAAACUGCUUUUAUACAAGAAUAAACUCCUUCACGUGUGAAGGAUUGAAUGUACUGUAAGAAUAAGCAUCGGCUAACUUCGUGCCAGCAGCCGCGGUAAUACGAAGGAUGCAAGCGUUAUCCGGAUUAUGGGUAAAGGGUGCGUAGCGGUUUAAAGUCAGUGGUGAAGCCCGAAGUUUAUUCGGAAUGCAUUGAUAUGAUAGUGAAUAUUGAAUGGGGCCCGGCAAUGGAGGUCCCCGGUAACCGGAGUGGACAACUGCUUCACAGAUUGU
Molecule: ribosomal RNA, 600 nt
Filed under: uncultured bacterium
Lineage: Bacteria
Description: bacterial SSU rRNA
Rfam family: Bacterial small subunit ribosomal RNA
Source: RNAcentral